GACGAACGCUGGCGGCGUGCUUAACACAUGCAAGUCGAACGGAGUGGCGAACGGGUGAGUAACACGUGGGUGACCUGCCCUGCACUUCGGGAUAAGCCUGGGAAACUGGGUCUAAUACCGGAUAGUGGGGGAUGGGCCCGCGGCCUAUCAGCUUGUGGGUGGGGUAAUGGCCUACCAAGGCGGCGACGGGUAGCCGGCCUGAGAGGGUGGACGGCCACAUUGGGCCUGCGGCACGGCCCAGACUCGUACGGUGGGCAGCAGGGGGGAAUAUUGCGCAAUGGGCGGAAGCCUGAGGAAGCGGCGCCGGGGGGGGGAUGACGGCCUUCGGGUGGUAAACUCCUUUCACCAUCGACGCGGUAGAUGGAGAAGAAGCACCGGCUAACUACGUGCCAGCAGCCGCGGUAAUAC
RNAcentral lists this ribosomal RNA (408 nucleotides) under uncultured bacterium. RNAcentral describes it as "partial 16S ribosomal RNA". It matches the Rfam family "Bacterial small subunit ribosomal RNA", at positions 28 to 526 of the family's 1533-position model. The record is from RNAcentral.